Molecule: transfer RNA, 74 nt
Filed under: Anaerolineaceae bacterium
Lineage: Bacteria; Bacillati; Chloroflexota; Anaerolineae; Anaerolineales; Anaerolineaceae
Also listed under: 1 other name
Description: tRNA-Val
Rfam family: tRNA
About the family: Transfer RNA (tRNA) molecules are approximately 80 nucleotides in length. Their secondary structure includes four short double-helical elements and three loops (D, anti-codon, and T loops).
Source: RNAcentral
GGGCAGUUAGCUCAGUCGGCUAGAGCGCCUCGUUGACGUCGAGGAGGUCAUAGGUUCGAGUCCUAUACUGCCCA